This 205-nucleotide ribosomal RNA is filed under the name uncultured bacterium. Its description in RNAcentral is "partial 16S ribosomal RNA". It matches the Rfam family "Bacterial small subunit ribosomal RNA", at positions 570 to 774 of the family's 1533-position model. The record is from RNAcentral.
CGCAGACGGCGAAGCAAGUCUGAAGUGAAAUGCAUGGGCUCAACCCAUGAAUUGCUUUGGAAACUGUUUGGCUUGAGUGUCGGAGGGGUAAGCGGAAUUCCUAGUGUAGCGGUGAAAUGCGUAGAUAUUAGGAGGAACACCGGAGGCGAAGGCGGCUUACUGGACGACAACUGACGUUGAGGCUCGAAGGCGUGGGGAGCAAACA